This 427-nucleotide ribosomal RNA is filed under the name uncultured bacterium. RNAcentral's name for it is "partial 16S ribosomal RNA". It matches the Rfam family "Bacterial small subunit ribosomal RNA", at positions 355 to 774 of the family's 1533-position model. The record is from RNAcentral.
UGGGGAAUAUUGGACAAUGGGCGAAAGCCUGAUCCAGCCAUGCCGCGUGUGUGAAGAAGGUCUUCGGAUUGUAAAGCACUUUAAGUUGGGAGGAAGGGCAUUAACCUAAUACGUUAGUGUUUUGACGUUACCGACAGAAUAAGCACCGGCUAACUCUGUGCCAGCAGCCGCGGUAAUACAGAGGGUGCAAGCGUUAAUCGGAAUUACUGGGCGUAAAUCGCGCGUAGGUGGUUUGUUAAGUUGGAUGUGAAAUCCCCGGGCUCAACCUGGGAACUGCAUUCAAAACUGACUGACUAGAGUAUGGUAGAGGGUGGUGGAAUUUCCUGUGUAGCGGUGAAAUGCGUAGAUAUAGGAAGGAACACCAGUGGCGAAGGCGACCACCUGGACUAAUACUGACACUGAGGUGCGAAAGCGUGGGGAGCAAACA